GGCGGACGGGUGAGGAAUACAUAGGAAUCUGCCUUUAGGUGGGGGAUAGCUUGGGGAAACUCAAGGUAAUACCGCAUGAUCUCGCAAGAGCAAAGUGGGGGACCGCAAGGCCUCACGCCUUUAGAGGAGCCUAUGUCUGAUUAGCUAGUUGGUGAGGUAAUGGCUCACCAAGGCGACGAUCAGUAACUGGUCUGAGAGGACGAUCAGUCACACCGGAACUGAGACACGGUCCGGACUCCUACGGGAGGCAGCAGUGGGGAAUAUUGGACAAUGGGCGAAAGCCUGAUCCAGCAAUUCCGCGUGUGUGAAGAAGGCCUUCGGGUUGUAAAGCACUUUAGGUUGGGAAGAAAAAACUUCUCCUAAUACGAGAAGCGUUGACGGUACCAACAGAAUAAGCACCGGCUAACUCUGUGCCAGCAGCCGCGGUAAUACAGAGGGUGCAAGCGUUAAUCGGAUUUACUGGGCGUAAAGCGUGCGUAGGUGGUUUCGUAAGUCGGAUGUGAAAGCCCCGGGCUCAACCUGGGAACUGCAUUCGAUACUGCGAGACUCGAGUUUGGUAGAGGGUGGCGGAAUUCCCGGUGUAGCGGUGAAAUGCGUAGAUAUCGGGAGGAACAUCAAUGGCGAAGGCAGCCACCUGGGCCUGAACUGACACUGAGGCACGAAAGCGUGGGUAGCAAACAGGAUUAGAUACCCUGGUAGUCCACGCCGUAAACGAUGAGAACUUGACGUUGGUUCGUUUUACGAAUCGGUGUCGUAGCUAACGCGAUAAGUUCUCCGCCUGGGGAGUACGGCCGCAAGGUUGAAACUCAAGGAAUUGACGGGGGCCCGCACAGCGGUUGGAGAUUAUGGUGGUUUAAUUCGAUGCAACGCGAGAACCUUACCUGGUCUUGACAUCCAGAGAAUCCUGCAGAGAUGCGGGAGUGCCUUCGGACUCUGAGACAGUGCUGCAUGGCUGUCGUCAGCUCGUGUCGUGAGAACGUUUGGGUUAAGUCCCGCGACGAGCCGCAACCCUUGCCCUUAGUUGCCACCA
RNAcentral lists this ribosomal RNA (1030 nucleotides) under uncultured bacterium. RNAcentral's name for it is "bacterial SSU rRNA". It matches the Rfam family "Bacterial small subunit ribosomal RNA", at positions 97 to 1123 of the family's 1533-position model. The record is from RNAcentral.